GGGAAUGUGGCUUAGUGGUAGAGUGCUUGCCUGGCAUGCAUGAAGUCCUGGGUUCAAUUCCUCAGUACCA
This 70-nucleotide transfer RNA is filed under the name Dipodomys ordii (Ord's kangaroo rat). It matches the Rfam family "tRNA". Rfam says of the family: Transfer RNA (tRNA) molecules are approximately 80 nucleotides in length. Their secondary structure includes four short double-helical elements and three loops (D, anti-codon, and T loops). The record is from Rfam by way of RNAcentral. Lineage: Eukaryota; Metazoa; Chordata; Mammalia; Rodentia; Heteromyidae.